GGGAGGCGUACAUGCAAAGUCGACGGACUUACCAGAAGCAGGAGAUGCUUGCAUUGACUAACGGAAGUGUAAGUUACUGGCGGACGGGUGAGUAACGCGUGGGCAACCUGCCCCAUACCGGGGGAUAACACCUGGAAACAGGUGCUAAAACCGCAUAAGCGCACAGCUUCGCAUGAAGGUGUGUGAAAAACUCCGGUGGUAUGGGAUGGGCCCGCGUCUGAUUAGCUGGUUGGCGGGGUAACGGCCCACCAAGGCGACGAUCAGUAGCCGGCCUGAGAGGGUGGACGGCCACAUUGGGACUGAGACACGGCCCAAACUCCUACGGGAGGCAGCAGUGGGGAAUAUUGGACAAUGGGGGAAACCCUGAUCCAGCGACGCCGCGUGAGUGAAGAAGUAUUUCGGUACGUAAAGCUCUAUCAGCAGGAAAGAAAAUGACGGUACCUGACUAAGAAGCCCCGGCUAACUACGUGCCAGCAGCCGCGGUAAUACGUAGGGGGCAAGCGUUAUCCGGAUUUAUUGGGUGUAAAGGGAGCGUAGACGGCAGCGCAAGUCUGGAGUGAAAUGCCGGGGCCCAACCCCGGAACUGCUCUGGAAACUGUGAAGCUGGAGUGCAGGAGAGGUAAGCGGAAUUCCUGGUGUAGCGGUGAAAUGCGUAGAUAUCAGGAGGAACACCGGCGGCGAAGGCGGCUUACUGGACUGUAACUGACGUUGAGGCUCGAAGGCGUGGGGAGCAAACAGGAUUAGAUACCC
Molecule: ribosomal RNA, 750 nt
Filed under: uncultured bacterium
Lineage: Bacteria
Description: bacterial SSU rRNA
Rfam family: Bacterial small subunit ribosomal RNA
Source: RNAcentral